Molecule: long non-coding RNA, 365 nt
Filed under: Scleropages formosus (Asian bonytongue)
Lineage: Eukaryota; Metazoa; Chordata; Actinopteri; Osteoglossiformes; Osteoglossidae
Description: lncRNA (ENSSFOG00015027384.1)
Source: RNAcentral
GUUUUGUCGGAAUGAAUUGCCCUUUAGCAGCAGGGUGCAAAACCAUCACUGCCACAUUGUGUAGUGGCAAUCUUGCAAAGUAUGUUGAACAGUGUGUUAUGUGGGCAGGGUUCCGGGAGGUGACUUGGUCAGUUGCAGAAGCACUUGAACCAUCUACCAUGAUGUUUACAGAGACCCCUGCACCCCUCCUCCAACCAUCCGCACACCCCUCCUGUGAAGACAAAAUGCAUGCAGCUGGCUGGAACACACGUCAAUGCCCAGGUGUCCACCAGAGCGAAAUUACAGCCCCUGAAAUAUCUGUAGAUACCAAAUGUUGGGUGCUGUCUCAUCAACAUUGGCACAGUGAUUAUUUAAACAAGGUUUAG